RNAcentral lists this ribosomal RNA (467 nucleotides) under uncultured bacterium. RNAcentral's name for it is "partial 16S ribosomal RNA". It matches the Rfam family "Bacterial small subunit ribosomal RNA", at positions 29 to 507 of the family's 1533-position model. The record is from RNAcentral.
ACGAACGCUGGCGGCGUGCUUCACCCAUGCAAGUCGAACGGAAAGGCCCUGCUUUUGUGGGGUGCUCGAGUGGCGAACGGGUGAGUAACACGUGAGUAACCUGCCCUUGACUUUGGGAUAACUUCACGAAACUGGGGCUAAUACCGGAUAGGAGCUCCUGCUGCAUGGUGGGGGUUGGAAAGUUUCGGCGGUUGGGGAUGGACUCGCGGCUUAUCAGCUUGUUGGUGGGGUAGUGGCUUACCAAGGCUUUGACGGGUAGCCGGCCUGAGAGGGUGACCGGCCACAUUGGGACUGAGAUACGGCCCAGACUCCUACGGGAGGCAGCAGUGGGGAAUAUUGCACAAUGGGCGGAAGCCUGAUGCAGCAACGCCGCGUGCGGGAUGACGGCCUUCGGGUUGUAAACCGCUUUCGCCUGUGACGAAGCGUGAGUGACGGUAAUGGGUAAAGAAGCACCGGCUAACUACGUG